CGGCGUGCUUAACACAUGCAAGUCGAACGCGAAAGGGACUUCGGUCCUGAGUAAAGUGGCGCACGGGUGAGUAACGCGUAGAUAACCUGUCUUCAUGUCUGGAAUAAUACGCCGAAAGGGGUGCUAAUACCGGAUAUUCUUGCUUUUCAUAAGUUAUGCAAGCAAAGGUGGCCUCUGCAUAUGCUACUGCAUGAAGAGGGGUCUGCGUACCAUUAGCUAGUAGGUGGGGUAAUGGCCUACCUAGGCGACGAUGGUUAGCGGGUCUGAGAGGAUGAUCCGCCACACUGGCACUGGAACACGGGCCAGACUCCUACGGGAGGCAGCAGUGAGGAAUAUUGCGCAAUGGGGGAAACCCUGACGCAGCGACGCCGCGUGAGUGAGGAAAGGCCUUCGGGUCGUAAAGCUCUGUCAAGAGGAAAGAAGUGUACAAUGGCUAAUACCUGUUGUAUUUGACGGUACCUCUAAAGGAAGCACCGGCUAACUCCGUGCCAGCAGCAGC
Molecule: ribosomal RNA, 499 nt
Filed under: uncultured bacterium
Lineage: Bacteria
Description: bacterial SSU rRNA
Rfam family: Bacterial small subunit ribosomal RNA
Source: RNAcentral